This 283-nucleotide ribosomal RNA is filed under the name uncultured bacterium. RNAcentral describes it as "partial 16S ribosomal RNA". It matches the Rfam family "Bacterial small subunit ribosomal RNA", at positions 523 to 805 of the family's 1533-position model. The record is from RNAcentral.
AUACGUAGGGUGCGAGCGUUGUCCGGAAUUACUGGGUGUAAAGGGAGCGUAGGCGGGAGUGCAAGUCAGAUGUGAAAUACAUGGGCUCAACCCAUGGGCUGCAUUUGAAACUGUGGUUCUUGAGUGAGGUAGAGGUAAGCGGAAUUCCUAGUGUAGCGGUGAAAUGCGUAGAUAUUAGGAGGAACAUCGGUGGCGAAGGCGGCUUACUGGGCCUUUACUGACGCUGAGGCACGAAAGCGUGGGGAGCAAACAGGAUUAGAUACCCUGGUAGUCCACGCUGUAA